This 382-nucleotide ribosomal RNA is filed under the name uncultured eukaryote. RNAcentral's name for it is "partial 18S ribosomal RNA". It matches the Rfam family "Eukaryotic small subunit ribosomal RNA", at positions 592 to 976 of the family's 1831-position model. The record is from RNAcentral.
UGUAAGCGUAUACCAAAGUUGUUGCAGUUAAAACGCUCGUAGUCGGAAUUUGGCAGUUCCGGAUGUGUGCACGUCGUGUGCGCACUUCGCGGGGAUUGCUUUUGUGGUCUUGCGUAGGAUGAGGCACUUUUAUUAGUGAACGUCCUCACGCAACCACUUUUUACUGUGAGAAAAUCAGAGUGCUCGAAGCAGGCAUUUGCCGUGAAUGUAUUAGCAUGGAAUAAUAGAAUAGGACUUGGUUCUAUUUUGUUGGUUUGUUGGGACUGAGUAAUGAUUAAGAGGGACAGUUGGGGGCAUUUGUAUUUCGGUGCUAGAGGUGAAAUUCUUAGAUUACCGAAAGACAAACUGCUGCGAAAGCGUCUACCAAGGAUGUUUUCAUUGA